GUGCCAGCCGCCGCGGUAAUACGUAGGUGGCAAGCGUUAUCCGGAUUUAUUGGGCGUAAAGAGAGUGCAGGCGGUUUUCUAAGUCUGAUGUGAAAGCCUUCGGCUUAACCGGAGAAGUGCAUCGGAAACUGGACAACUUGAGUGCAGAAGAGGGUAGUGGAACUCCAUGUGUAGCGGUGGAAUGCGUAGAUAUAUGGAAGAACACCAGUGGCGAAGGCGGCUACCUGGUCUGCAACUGACGCUGAGACUCGAAAGCAUGGGUAGCGAACAGGAUUAGAUACCCUGGUAGUCCAUGCCGUAAACGAUGAGUGCUAGGUGUUGGA
Molecule: ribosomal RNA, 323 nt
Filed under: uncultured Lactobacillus sp.
Lineage: Bacteria; Bacillati; Bacillota; Bacilli; Lactobacillales; Lactobacillaceae
Description: bacterial SSU rRNA
Rfam family: Bacterial small subunit ribosomal RNA
Source: RNAcentral